Molecule: unclassified non-coding RNA, 436 nt
Filed under: Hevea brasiliensis (rubber tree)
Lineage: Eukaryota; Viridiplantae; Streptophyta; Magnoliopsida; Malpighiales; Euphorbiaceae
Source: RNAcentral
AGAUACCCAUCAAUCAAUUUAACUAAGUACAAUGCCAAUCAAAAAACAAGCCAUAUGGAUAUGUUAAUCAUUCAAUAUCCCCAAAAUGGUGAAUUUAAGCAAACACAUAAUAAUCAAAUGCAACAACUUCAAGCCCAACAAAAAAUUAUCAAAAAAGCCAUUUCAGUAGGAUAACACAGACUUGCAUUGCAGCUUCACAAAUUGGGUCACACAAUUACACGAACGCCAAGUUUGUGUUACUGAUUUUCCUUAAAACAAUGCAAAGAAACAUAAAUACCAAAAUCAAACAAAUCAUAAACAGAGACCAGAAACAGAAACCGAAAGAUAUCAAACAAACACAGCGUUUGAUCUAUUGUUAGUGGCAUCUACUGGUUUGUUUGCAUUCUCGGCCCAACAGAGUCGAAGGCAAAUGGGCUGUAGAUCUCUCCGGCAGCUU